Molecule: long non-coding RNA, 353 nt
Organism: Malurus melanocephalus (red-backed fairy wren)
Lineage: Eukaryota; Metazoa; Chordata; Aves; Passeriformes; Maluridae
Exons: 3
Source: RefSeq, a predicted model, not a curated record
GAAAARCACAGUCUCCUGUCUGCCAUCGGGRUCCUGGAGCAUCCCCUACCCCCGCUGCGAGGUGAUCACCUGCAGCAGCCCCAGCAUCUGGGAUGGAGAGCUGGCUGGAGGCCGGAGGGCUGAGUACCACCCUGGGGACAAUGUCACCUUCCAGUGCCACCCAGGCUUCGUGCUGUGGGGCAGCCAUGGGGCCACGUGCCAGCUCGAUGGCCACUGGGUGCCUGCGGUCCCCACAUGCCAGCCAGUGCUGCUGUGCCCUCCACCCCCUGUCAUCGCCCACGCCACGCUCAGCGCCGAGCCAGGGACCAACUUCAGCAGCGGCACCUCUGUGAGCUACAGCUGCCAGCCCGGCU